UGGGGAAUCUUGCGCAAUGGGCGGAAGCCUGACGCAGCAACGCCGCGUGCGGGAAGAAGGCCUUAGGGUCGUAAACCGCUUUCAGGGGGGACGAAGCUUCCGGGGUUAAUAGCCUACGGGGUGACGGUACUCCCAGAAGAAGGUCCGGCUAACUACGUGCCAGCAGCCGCGGUAAUACGUAGGGACCGAGCGUUGUCCGGAAUCAUUGGGCGUAAAGAGCGUGUAGGCGGCCUGGUAGGUCUCGUGUGAAAGCCCGCGGCUCAACCGCGGAUCCGCACGGGAAACCCCCAGGCUCGAGUCCGGAAGAGGAGAGUGGAAUUCCAGGUGUAGCGGUGAAAUGCGCAGAUAUCUGGAAGAACACCCGUAGCGAAGGCGGCUCUCUGGGACGGUACUGACGCUGAGACGCGAAAGCGUGGGGAGCAAACAGG
This 428-nucleotide ribosomal RNA is filed under the name uncultured bacterium. Its description in RNAcentral is "bacterial SSU rRNA". It matches the Rfam family "Bacterial small subunit ribosomal RNA", at positions 355 to 776 of the family's 1533-position model. The record is from RNAcentral.